RNAcentral lists this signal recognition particle RNA (99 nucleotides) under Deltaproteobacteria bacterium. RNAcentral's name for it is "signal recognition particle sRNA small type". It matches the Rfam family "Bacterial small signal recognition particle RNA". Rfam says of the family: The signal recognition particle (SRP) is a universally conserved ribonucleoprotein involved in the co-translational targeting of proteins to membranes. Archaeal SRP consists of a 7S RNA and homologues of the eukaryotic SRP19 and SRP54 proteins. The record is from RNAcentral. Lineage: Bacteria; Pseudomonadati; Myxococcota; Myxococcia.
GGCCGGGUCGCAUACAACUCAGCGCUGUGAACCCCGUCAGGCCCGGAAGGGAGCAGCGGUAAACAGUACGUUGUUUGUGUAUGGUUCGGCCCGGUCUCU